This 428-nucleotide ribosomal RNA is filed under the name uncultured bacterium. RNAcentral's name for it is "bacterial SSU rRNA". It matches the Rfam family "Bacterial small subunit ribosomal RNA", at positions 355 to 775 of the family's 1533-position model. The record is from RNAcentral.
UGGGGAAUAUUGCACAAUGGGCGCAAGCCUGAUGCAGCCAUGCCGCGUGUAUGAAGAAGGCCUUCGGGUUGUAAAGUACUUUCAGCGAGGAGGAAGGCAUUAAGGUUAAUAACCUUAGUGAUUGACGUUACUCGCAGAAGAAGCACCGGCUAACUCCGUGCCAGCAGCCGCGGUAAUACGGAGGGUGCAAGCGUUAAUCGGAAUUACUGGGCGUAAAGCGCACGCAGGCGGUCUGUCAAGUCGGAUGUGAAAUCCCCGGGCUCAACCUGGGAACUGCAUUCGAAACUGGCAGGCUAGAGUCUUGUAGAGGGGGGUAGAAUUCCAGGUGUAGCGGUGAAAUGCGUAGAGAUCUGGAGGAAUACCGGUGGCGAAGGCGGCCCCCUGGACAAAGACUGACGCUCAGGUGCGAAAGCGUGGGGAGCAAACAG